This 142-nucleotide non-coding RNA is filed under the name Symbiodinium sp. CCMP2430. Lineage: Eukaryota; Dinophyceae; Suessiales; Symbiodiniaceae. The record is from RNAcentral.
AAUGGAAAGAAGAAAAGACAAAGAACACAACACUAGACUGGGUGAACGAGAUCCGUGUGGUUGUUCUGUUUCCAUUUUAAUUCAACUAAAUUCACGCGUUCCAUUCUAUUCCCUUGUAAUUUAGUUGAAUUAAAAGGAACAG